Molecule: transfer RNA, 87 nt
Filed under: Gemmatimonadota bacterium
Lineage: Bacteria; Pseudomonadati; Gemmatimonadota
Description: Gemmatimonadetes bacterium (activated sludge metagenome) tRNA-Leu
Rfam family: tRNA
About the family: Transfer RNA (tRNA) molecules are approximately 80 nucleotides in length.
Source: RNAcentral
GCCGAGGUGGCGAAACUGGCAGACGCACCAGCUUGAGGGGCUGGAGGGCAGCAAAUGCCCGUGCGGGUUCGAGUCCCGCCCUCGGCA